This 226-nucleotide unclassified non-coding RNA is filed under the name Hevea brasiliensis (rubber tree). Lineage: Eukaryota; Viridiplantae; Streptophyta; Magnoliopsida; Malpighiales; Euphorbiaceae. The record is from RNAcentral.
CAGGAAGCUCGGGCUGCAGCUAAACCAAGGUUCUGCCCUGCAGAGCCAGAACAUCCUAAUGUUUCAGAACAGAAACAAGCCCCAUCACCAGAAGUAUCUUUCCAGCGGCUUGAUGGUGGGAAACAGUUCAAUCCGUCAUACGAUAAAAGCAAACCAGAAAGCCAAAGUGGGACAAAUGGAAAGACACAUAUCGCUCAGCCCCACACCAUUCCUGGUUAUACUUGUU